Molecule: ribosomal RNA, 1174 nt
Filed under: uncultured fungus
Lineage: Eukaryota; Fungi
Description: eukaryotic LSU rRNA
Rfam family: Eukaryotic large subunit ribosomal RNA (bases 551-1174)
Source: RNAcentral
GAUCAUUAACGAGUUUGAAAGGGGUUGUAGCUGGCCUUCACGGGCAUGUGCACACCCCACUCAUCCACUCUACACCUGUGCACUUACUGUGGGUUUCGAGCGGCCGUGCGGGUUCAUACUCGAGCGGUCAAUCGGGCCUACGUUUAUUACAAACUCUUCAGUAUCAGAAUGUGUAUCGCGAUGCAACGCAUCUAUAUACAACUUUCAGCAACGGAUCUCUUGGCUCUCGCAUCGAUGAAGAACGCAGCGAAAUGCGAUAAGUAAUGUGAAUUGCAGAAUUCAGUGAAUCAUCGAAUCUUUGAACGCACCUUGCGCUCCUUGGUAUUCCGAGGAGCAUGCCUGUUUGAGUGUCGUGUGAUUCUCAACCUAUAAAUCCUUGCGGUUUGUAGGCUUGGACUUGGAGGCUUUGCCGGCUUUACGGUCGGCUCCUCUCAAAUGCAUUAGCUUGAUUCCUUGCGGAUCGGCUCUCGGUGUGAUAAUUAUCUGCGCCGUGACCGUGAAGCGUUUGGCGGGCUUCUAACCGUCUCUCUGAGACACUUACUUUGACAUCUGACCUCAAAUCAGGUAGGACUACCCGCUGAACUUAAGCAUAUCAAUAAGCGGAGGAAAAGAAACUAACAAGGAUUCCCCUAGUAACUGCGAGUGAAGCGGGAAGAGCUCAAAUUUAAAAUCUGGCGGUCUUUGGCCGUCCGAGUUGUAGUCUGGAGAAGUGCUUUCCGCGCUGGACCGUGUACAAGUCUCUUGGAACAGAGCGUCAUAGAGGGUGAGAAUCCCGUCUUUGACACGGACUACCAGUGCUUUGUGAUGCGCUCUCAAAGAGUCGAGUUGUUUGGGAAUGCAGCUCAAAAUGGGUGGUAAAUUCCAUCUAAAGCUAAAUAUUGGCGAGAGACCGAUAGCGAACAAGUACCGUGAGGGAAAGAUGAAAAGCACUUUGGAAAGAGAGUUAAACAGUACGUGAAAUUGCUGAAAGGGAAACGCUUGAAGUCAGUCGCGUCGUGCGGAACUCAGCCUUGCUUUUGCUUGGUGCAUUUUCUGUACGACGGGCCAGCAUCAAUUUUGACCGUCGGAAAAGGGCCGAGGGAAUGUGGCACCUCCGGGUGUGUUAUAGCCUUCGGUCGCAUACGGCGGUUGGGAUUGAGGAUCGCAGCGCGCCGCAAGGCAGGGGUUCGCCCAC